Molecule: ribosomal RNA, 326 nt
Filed under: uncultured Pseudomonadota bacterium
Lineage: Bacteria; Pseudomonadati; Pseudomonadota
Description: bacterial SSU rRNA
Rfam family: Bacterial small subunit ribosomal RNA
Source: RNAcentral
AUUGAACGCUGGCGGCAUGCCUAACACAUGCAAGUCGAACGGCAGCAUGACCUGGCUUGCCAGGUUGAUGGCGAGUGGCGGACGGGUGAGUAACGCGUAGGAAUAUGCCUUAAAGUGGGGGAUAACUUGGGGAAACUCAAGCUAAUACCGCAUAUUCUCUGAGGAGGAAAGCUAGGGACUUUUAGCCUGGCGCUUUAAGAGUAGCCUGCGUCUGAUUAGCUAGUUGGUGGGGUAAAGGCCUACCAAGGCGACGAUCGGUAGCUGGUCUGAGAGGAUGGACAGCCACACUGGGACUGAGACACGGCCCAGACACCUACGGGUGGCAG